AGAGUUUGAUCCUGGCUCAGGAUGAACGCUAGCGGCGUGGAUAAGGCAUGCAAGUCGAACGGUCCCGCAUUUUGCGGGAUAGUGGCAAACGGGUUAGUAACACGUAGAUACACACCCUCUACACAGGCAUAAUCUCGCGAAAGCGGGACUAAUUCCUGAUAGUCCGAGUACUCAAUUCGUUGAGUGCUCGGUAAAUGGUUUCGAGCAAUCGAUUCCGGUAGAGGAAUGGUCUGCGGCUUAUCAGCUUGUUGGUGAGGUAAUGGCUCACCAAGGCUAUGACGGGUAGGGGAUAUGAGAGUGUGUUCCCCAACAAGGGCACUGCGACACGGGCCCUACUCCCACGGGAGGCAGCAGUCGAGAAUAUUCGACAAUGGGCGAAAGCCUGAUCGAGCGACGCCGCGUGCUCGAAGAAGCCCUUCGGGGUGUAAAGAGCUUUUCUGGAGGAAGAACCUUCGGGUGACGGUACUCCAGGAAUAAGGAGAUGCUAAUCACGUGCCAGCAGCAGCGGUAAUACGUGAUCUUCAAGCGUUAUCCGGAUUUAUUGGGCGUAAAGCGUCCGUAGGCGCACCGCCAGGUUUUCUGUUAAACCCUAGGGCUCAACCUUAGAACUGCAGAAAAAACCGGCGGAGUAGAGGGCAUUAGAGGCUGAUGGAACGGUCGGUGUAGGGGUGAAAUCCGUUGAUAUCGACCGGAACACCAAAUGCGAAGGCAUUCAGCUGGGGUGACCCUGACGCUGAGGGACGAAAGCGUGGGUAGCGAAAAAGAUUAGAUACCUUUGUAGCCCACGCCGUAAACGAUGGACACUAGCUAUUUGAAGUGUCGACCCUUCAAGUGGCGAAGCUAACGCGUUAAGUGUCCCGCCUGGGAAGUACGACGGCAACGUUAAAACUCAAAGGAAUAGACGGGGCUUUACACAAGCGGUGGAUCAUGUGGCUCAAUUCGACAAUAAGCGAAGAACCUUACCAGGGCUUGACAGACUAGUGAAACCUCGCAGAAACGUGAGGCUCCCACAAGGCACUAGUCCAGGUGCUGCAUGGUUGUCGUCAGCAUGUGCUUUGAAGUGCUCCCUUAAAUGGGGUAACAUGCGCAACCCUCGCUCUAUGUUUUACGUGUCAUAGAGAACUGC
This 1126-nucleotide ribosomal RNA is filed under the name uncultured bacterium. RNAcentral's name for it is "bacterial SSU rRNA". It matches the Rfam family "Bacterial small subunit ribosomal RNA", at positions 8 to 1152 of the family's 1533-position model. The record is from RNAcentral.